GUAUAAAUAUAAAGUUUAUUCAGCAUAGUGUUUAGAAAAAUAAGUUCACAUCAUUUCAGAAAACAAAUAAACACUUAAUUGUCCAGGCAUAAACCCCCAUUACAGUACAACAUACAUACUUUAGAUCUCUUUGGUUGGGUAAUUAAGCACAGAAAUGUUCUGGGACAUGCUCUGUGUGCCAUCACCUAACAGUGCAGUAAAGACUCUGUUACCCCACCCCAUGAUAUACAUUCUGUAUAGAGUUUCUCUUUGUGUAAGGCACAGUAAAACCAUAUUGAGUAUAUAAUUGGUUGCCUCUAAACAUACAGUACAUGCAACAAAAGAAUAUUUUUGAGAACCCUGAAAGCCAAAAGUCACAUGCUAUAUAAUUUUGAUUAAUAAAAUGUAUGAUGAUAAAUUAACAUGAAAUGUAUCAAUUAGAUAUAAAGUAACUGCUAGGCUCUAUUAUCUAAGUUUUACAAAGAGUUUAAAAUAUCUUUUGUGAAAUGUAAUUAUUUUCCCCAUAGUUUUCCUGAAUUAUUUUUAUUAUGAGAUGAUCUGUCAAAACAUUUUAAAGAAUGAAGAACCUGUGGCUAUGAACUAAUGCACGCUUGUCUAGCAUGUAGCAGGGCAGGCUGCCACACAUGCCCAAUAAUCCAACUUUUAACAUGCAAGAUACAAGGGCAUACACAGAGAGAUUUAAGGUCAGUGUGCAAUUUAACUAUGGAUUUUUACCUAUGGCUAUAGUAUCUACCUGCCUUUCGUAACACAAGAAAGGCACUGAAACGUGUACAAUUUAAAAAGUCUUUUCAUUACUAUAAAUAUACAUGAGAUAUAAAGCAGUACAACACAGGUGCUCUUGCUUGAUUGAGGAACAAAUGCACCUUCUCUUUAAACAAUAGACUGUCCUUUACUAGAUUUAACUAAGAGCUAAAUGCCAAACUCUGGCUGAUAGAGUGCAUAGAUAGGCUUACACCAAAAAUCCCACAGCCAGCAGCAUGGGUUGGGUUUUGCAGGGAGUCAUUUACCCCUAUUUUGAUCUUCAGGGAUCAUUAGAGGGUCAUUUGCAGCAUCUUCAAGCAUUGGUUUAUGUAAGAGUGAAAUUCUGCCACAUGAACUCCAAGGGUUCUGGGUCUGGCCCUUGGUGGCAAAAGACAUUUGCAAUUCUGUGCAAGGAGAUCGUGGGGUUUAUCUUACUCCAUUCACAUAUACAUGGGCUACAUACCAACUGGCCCUUAUUCUACUGAAAGAAUAGAAAAGAACAAUAAGUUCUUUACAAUGUGCAUUGAUUCUUACCUGGUAUAUUGUGUAGCUACCUGAAGUAAUUGUAGGGUUAUAAUUACAUCAUGGUGGGAGUAUGAAUGGGUUUCCUAGGUAAGUCUUAAGUUUUGUGCUAUCUUUUCUUUUUCAUAAGGGAGAAAAGAGGAAGAACGCGGAAUAAAAGAGAGGCUUAUUAUAUUUUCAGAAAACAUAUAAAACAUUUCCAGUUGUAUAUAUGUAGCAUAUAUAACUUUAAAAACCUUCCCAUCUCUCUUAUUGGAUGGGUAUUUGAAAAUAACAAACUCUUGAUAUCUGCAGCAAUCAAGUGGAAAACAUCAUUUUUAUGUAAACUACACUACAGAGCCAUGUAAUUAAUCUCAGUAACAGGAUCAGCACACACCCAAAGGAAAAACAAGCUCUGUAAGUUGUAGUAGAGUGGAAAAGAACUCUAAAACACCUGACUUUGUAAAACAAAACAAAAAACAUCUAGCUUCAGCAGUUUAGGAACAUUCACCAAUUCUAUAAAAAAUGAUGGGAGAGGAAUUCUUCAUAGGGUUCUUCAUAUAUGCCUGCAAGUUUCAUUUAUGAUAACAAAAGUU
This 1838-nucleotide long non-coding RNA is filed under the name Macaca fascicularis (crab-eating macaque). RNAcentral describes it as "lncRNA (ENSMFAG00000049496.1)". Lineage: Eukaryota; Metazoa; Chordata; Mammalia; Primates; Cercopithecidae. The record is from RNAcentral.